Molecule: transfer RNA, 72 nt
Filed under: Camelus dromedarius (Arabian camel)
Lineage: Eukaryota; Metazoa; Chordata; Mammalia; Artiodactyla; Camelidae
Also listed under: 1 other name
Rfam family: tRNA
About the family: Transfer RNA (tRNA) molecules are approximately 80 nucleotides in length. Their secondary structure includes four short double-helical elements and three loops (D, anti-codon, and T loops). Further hydrogen bonds mediate the characteristic L-shaped molecular structure. tRNAs have two regions of fundamental functional importance: the anti-codon, which is responsible for specific mRNA codon recognition, and the 3' end, to which the tRNAs corresponding amino acid is attached (by aminoacyl-tRNA synthetases). tRNAs cope with the degeneracy of the genetic code in two manners: having more than one tRNA (with a specific anti-codon) for a particular amino acid; and 'wobble' base-pairing, i.e. permitting non-standard base-pairing at the 3rd anti-codon position.
Source: Rfam by way of RNAcentral
GAGGGUAUAGCUGAGUGGUGGAGCACAAGCUCGGCAUGCACGAGUUCCUGGGUUCAAUCCCCAGUACCUCCA